AGUGAACGCUGGCGGUAUGCCUAACACAUGCAAGUCGAACGGCAGCACAGGAAGUGCUGGCUCUUACGUGUGUCGAGUGUCGGACGGGGGAGUAAUACAUCGGAAUCUACUUUUUCGGGGGGGAUAACGUAGGGAAACUUACGCGAAUACCAGAUACGUCCUACGGGGGAAGGCCGGGGAUGGUUUGACCUGGUGGUAGGGAAUAAGCCGAUGUCGGAGUAGCUAGUUGGCGGGGUAGAGGCACACAAAGGCGACGAUCCGUAGCUGGUCUGAGAGGAUGGUCAGACAGACUGGAACUGAGAAACGGUCGCCACUCCGACGGGAGGACGCAGCGGGGACUAUUGCACAAUGGGGGAAAGCCUGAUACAGCAAUACCGCGUGGGUGAAGAACGCCUUCUGGUUGUAAAGCCAUUUUGUUGGGAAAGAAAAGAAGCAGGUUAAUCCCGCGCUGUUCUGACGGUACCCAAAGAAUAAGCACCGGCUAACUUCGUG
This 492-nucleotide ribosomal RNA is filed under the name uncultured bacterium. RNAcentral's name for it is "partial 16S ribosomal RNA". It matches the Rfam family "Bacterial small subunit ribosomal RNA", at positions 29 to 507 of the family's 1533-position model. The record is from RNAcentral.